Molecule: long non-coding RNA, 1031 nt
Organism: Mesocricetus auratus (golden hamster)
Lineage: Eukaryota; Metazoa; Chordata; Mammalia; Rodentia; Cricetidae
Exons: 3
Source: RefSeq, a predicted model, not a curated record
AUGCACACACACGCUACAUCAUGUACGAGGAAGUCAGAGGAAAACUUGCGGUGGCAGGUCUCUCCUUCUGGGACUCAAACUCAGGUCUUCAAGCUUGGCCGCAAGCAUCUUUAUCUGCCGAGCCACAUUGCUGGCUCUUGGGCCAGGACUUUGGAGUGCCUGCCUUUCCCCCAGCUCACUAGCCUGCUUUCGUUUUCUUACUAACCAGUCUCGAUUCUAUUUUAAUGUCUAAUAACUAGUCUCUGGUCAAAUUCAUUGUCCUGGGACACAAGAGCCUGGAAACUUCUACCACUCGUUGUGAGACCUGAGUUAAUAUAUCACAGAGUGAAGACAAGUGUCUCCUCAUUCCCCUUUUCCUCGUGAUUGGCUGAGGACGGAGUUUCACGCACCAUUAACUUGAAGUCCUCGCCACACGUCCCUGUGCCUCACAGGCUGGUGGUGACCCGAGAGUUGACAGUGUUCCUUUGGCACAAGAAACUUCAAGUAUCUUAAACAUGGAAUGUGGAAAAAGAGCAUGGGUGACUCACAGCAGCUGCCUCACUGAAAAAGCCCACCCCAGCAUGAGUGACCCUAGUUCAGGGAACUCCAUCACCCGAACCUCUACUUCCAGAGACUGGAGCACAUUAAUGGAGUGUAACUGAUGGUCAGGGGUCAGUCCUGAAGGGGCUGGUAGGGCACUGGGAAAUAUCCAAGUCUUAAUCUGAAAGUACUGGGGACCCAUGAUCACAUCUGACAGUACUGGGGACCCAUGAUCACAUCUGACAGUACUGGGGACACAUGCGGAUCACAUAGGAGGGAUGGAUACAACUUGGAUUUUAGUCCUUGCUCUGGCUCUGGUAUGGAGGUCUCAGAAUUAGUGCAGAGGCCACCCUAGUGCAGAUUGCUACAAGCACCUCUUCCUUUCUCCCCCUCUCUCUCCCUCAGUCCCUCUGUCCCUCUAUCCCGACAGUGUUUCACGUGUCCAAGAGUAACCUUGAACUUGAUCUGUCAUGGUCUUGAACUUUUUUAAUUAAAAAUUUUCUUUAGAUUUA